Molecule: unclassified non-coding RNA, 144 nt
Filed under: uncultured fungus
Lineage: Eukaryota; Fungi
Description: sequence contains ITS1
Source: RNAcentral
UUAAAAUUUAAAUAUUUCAUUCAGACAAAUCAAAUGGAGUUAAAAUUCGGCCCCUGUUAAUCUUAACAGAAGCCAAAGCAAAUUUAGUUCACGAAUAUGAAUAUGGACUCAAUAAUGAUCCUUCCGCAGGUUCACCUACGGAAA